Molecule: ribosomal RNA, 402 nt
Filed under: uncultured Salpingoecidae
Lineage: Eukaryota; Choanoflagellata; Craspedida; Salpingoecidae
Description: partial small subunit ribosomal RNA
Rfam family: Eukaryotic small subunit ribosomal RNA
Source: RNAcentral
GCUUGUCUCAAAGAUUAAGCCAUGCAUGUCUAAGUAUAAAUAGUAUACAGUGAAACUGCGAAUGGCUCAUUAAAACAGUUAUAGUUUAUUUGAUAAUUGAAAAUUACAUGGAUAACCGUGGUAAUUCUAGAGCUAAUACAUGCGAAAAGACCCGACUUUGCGGAAGGGUUGCAUUUAUUAGAUACAAAACCAAUGCGGGGCAACCCGGUUGUUGGUGAUUCAUAAUAACUUUUGCGGAUCGCAUGGCCUUGAGCCGGCGACGAAUCAUUCAAAUUUCUGCCCUAUCAACUUUCGAUGGUACGGUAUUGGCCUACCAUGGUUACCACGGGUAACGGGGAAUUAGGGUUCGGUUCCGGAGAGGGGGCCUGAGAAAUGGCCACCACAUCCAAGGAAGGCAGCAGG